GAUGAACGCUGGCGGCGUGCCUAAUACAUGCAAGUCGAGCGAACGGACGAGAAGCUUGCUUCUCUGAUGUUAGCGGCGGACGGGUGAGUAACACGUGGAUAACCUACCUAUAAGACUGGGAUAACUUCGGGAAACCGGAGCUAAUACCGGAUAAUAUUUUGAACCGCAUGGUUCAAAAGUGAAAGACGGUCUUGCUGUCACUUAUAGAUGGAUCCGCGCUGCAUUAGCUAGUUGGUAAGGUAACGGCUUACCAAGGCAACGAUGCAUAGCCGACCUGAGAGGGUGAUCGGCCACACUGGAACUGAGACACGGUCCAGAGUACUAAGGGAGGCAGCAGUAGGGAAUCUUCCGCAAUGGGCGAAAGACUGACGGAGCAACGCCGCGUGAGUGAUGAAGGUCUUCGGAUCGUAAAACUCUGUUAUUAGGGAAGAACAUAUGUGUAAGUAACUGUGCACAUCUUGACGGUACCUAAUCAGAAAGCCACGGCUAACUACGUG
Molecule: ribosomal RNA, 497 nt
Filed under: uncultured bacterium
Lineage: Bacteria
Description: partial 16S ribosomal RNA
Rfam family: Bacterial small subunit ribosomal RNA
Source: RNAcentral